GAUUAUUGGAGUUAACUGUGUCCCAGGCACUAGACUAAUCAGAAUUUAACUGACAUUAGUUAAUGAUCUGGGUCUCUAGAAGAGGCCUGUGAGCCUGACACAGCCAGGCAUGACCCAACGCUGGACAAUCUCACCGUCGUUGAUCUGGGAAGAAACUCCAGACAGGACUUCUUGAGCAGAGGAUAAAGCAAGCAGCCCACAGAGGAGAAUGAAGAGGCUGGAGACCUUCAGCAUCUUGGAAUGGGCACCUGUGGACCCAGCAACCCCAGUCAUGCCAGAGACCCAAGUCAAGGAAAGCCCUCAGGGACUGGAGGUGAAGCCACAGCUCCUCAUUAGAAGGAAGCAGGAAGGGGCCGUGUUUAUUAGCAAUGCCUGCUAGGCGCUAGUGGUAAAGAACCUGCCUGCCUGUGCAGGAGAUGUAAGAGACCUGGGUCGGGAAGAUCCCCUGGAGGAGGGCAUGGCAACCCACUCCAGUAUUCUUGCCUGGAGAAUCCCAUGGACAGUGCAGCCUGGUGGGCUACAGUCUGUAGGGUCACAGAGAGUUGGACAUAACUGAAGUGACUUUGCAUACAUGCAC
Molecule: long non-coding RNA, 577 nt
Filed under: Capra hircus (goat)
Lineage: Eukaryota; Metazoa; Chordata; Mammalia; Artiodactyla; Bovidae
Description: lncRNA (ENSCHIG00000002197.1)
Source: RNAcentral